Rhipicephalus sanguineus (brown dog tick) is the source of this 2344-nucleotide long non-coding RNA. RefSeq lists it as uncharacterized. The transcript has 3 exons. The record is from RefSeq and is a predicted model, not a curated record. Lineage: Eukaryota; Metazoa; Arthropoda; Arachnida; Ixodida; Ixodidae.
GUUAGCGACCAAGGCCUUUGCCUCUUUUUUUUUUUUUUCGCACUCAUUGUCAGAAUAAGUGUUCUUUUCGUGCAUAGCUAUGCCGUGUACCCCACUUCUUGAGACUGGGUGUUGUUGAACGUGCAGUUCUAAUGAUGUACUAGCUCGUCAGGGAGGACAUUGAGCAGCUAAGGAUGUCAGUUUAAUGCCGUCUUUCAGGUUCCUGUUCGCUUCUUACAUAGUCCGUGAGGUCAAGACGACUGCAUCCUUUCAGAAAUUUGGAGAAUGUAUUCAGUGCUACGUGUGCAGGCUUGGCAACUCUUUCUGUUUUGUUAUUUUUACGUUAGCGACCAAGGCCUUUGCCUCUUUUUUUUUUUUCGCACUCAUUGUCAGAAUAAGUGUUCUUUUCGUGCAUAGCUAUGCCGUGUACCCCACUUCUUGAGACUGGGUGUUGUUGAACGUGCAGUUCUAAUGAUGUACUAGCUCGUCAGGGAGGACAUUGAGCAGCUAAGGAUGUCAGUUUAAUGCCGUCUUUCAGGUUCCUGUUCGCUUCUUACAUAGUCCGUGAGGUCAAGACGACUGCAUCCUUUCAGAAAUUUGGAGAAUGUAUUCAGUGCUACGUGUGCAGGCUUGGCAACUCUUUCUGUUUUGUUAUUUUUACGUUAGCGACCAAGGCCUUUGCCUCUUUUUUUUUUUUUUUUCGCACUCAUUGUCAGAAUAAGUGUUCUUUUCGUGCAUAGCUAUGCCGUGUACCCCACUUCUUGAGACUGGGUGUUGUUGAACGUGCAGUUCUAAUGAUGUACUAGCUCGUCAGGGAGGACAUUGAGCAGCUAAGGAUGUCAGUUUAAUGCCGUCUUUCAGGUUCCUGUUCGCUUCUUACAUAGUCCGUGAGGUCAAGACGACUGCAUCCUUUCAGAAAUUUGGAGAAUGUAUUCAGUGCUACGUGUGCAGGCUUGGCAACUCUUUCUGUUUUGUUAUUUUUACGUUAGCGACCAAGGCCUUUGCCUCUUUUUUUUUUUUCGCACUCAUUGUCAGAAUAAGUGUUCUUUUCGUGCAUAGCUAUGCCGUGUACCCCACUUCUUGAGACUGGGUGUUGUUGAACGUGCAGUUCUAAUGAUGUACUAGCUCGUCAGGGAGGACAUUGAGCAGCUAAGGAUGUCAGUUUAAUGCCGUCUUUCAGGUUCCUGUUCGCUUCUUACAUAGUCCGUGAGGUCAAGACGACUGCAUCCUUUCAGAAAUUUGGAGAAUGUAUUCAGUGCUACGUGUGCAGGCUUGGCAACUCUUUCUGUUUUGUUAUUUUUACGUUAGCGACCAAGGCCUUUGCCUCUUUUUUUUUUUUUUUCGCACUCAUUGUCAGAAUAAGUGUUCUUUUCGUGCAUAGCUAUGCCGUGUACCCCACUUCUUGAGACUGGGUGUUGUUGAACGUGCAGUUCUAAUGAUGUACUAGCUCGUCAGGGAGGACAUUGAGCAGCUAAGGAUGUCAGUUUAAUGCCGUCUUUCAGGUUCCUGUUCGCUUCUUACAUAGUCCGUGAGGUCAAGACGACUGCAUCCUUUCAGAAAUUUGGAGAAUGUAUUCAGUGCUACGUGUGCAGGCUUGGCAACUCUUUCUGUUUUGUUAUUUUUACGUUAGCGACCAAGGCCUUUGCCUCUUUUUUUUUUUUUUUCGCACUCAUUGUCAGAAUAAGUGUUCUUUUCGUGCAUAGCUAUGCCGUGUACCCCACUUCUUGAGACUGGGUGUUGUUGAACGUGCAGUUCUAAUGAUGUACUAGCUCGUCAGGGAGGACAUUGAGCAGCUAAGGAUGUCAGUUUAAUGCCGUCUUUCAGGUUCCUGUUCGCUUCUUACAUAGUCCGUGAGGUCAAGACGACUGCAUCCUUUCAGAAAUUUGGAGAAUGUAUUCAGUGCUACGUGUGCAGGCUUGGCAACUCUUUCUGUUUUGUUAUUUUUACGUUAGCGACCAAGGCCUUUGCCUCUUUUUUUUUUUUUUUUUCGCACUCAUUGUCAGAAUAAGUGUUCUUUUCGUGCAUAGCUAUGCCGUGUACCCCACUUCUUGAGACUGGGUGUUGUUGAACGUGCAGUUCUAAUGAUGUACUAGCUCGUCAGGGAGGACAUUGAGCAGCUAAGGAUGUCAGUUUAAUGCCGUCUUUCAGGUUCCUGUUCGCUUCUUACAUAGUCUGUGAGGUCAAGACGACUGCAUCCUUUCAGAAAUUUGGAGAAUGUAUUCAGUGCUACGUGUGCAGGCUUGGCAACUCUUUCUGUUUUGUUAUUUUUACGUUAGCGACCAAGGCCUUUGCCUCUUUUUUUUUUCGCACUCAUUGUCAGAAUAAUUGUUGUUUUCCGACUGUUGUGCUGGUGAUAUAGCGUGUU